CUACUUGUAUGUUUUUCUUACAUGGAUAACCGUGGGAACUAGGGCUAAUACAUGCAGUAACCUUCGGGUUGUUAUUUUAUUAGUUUCAAAUCAAUGUCAUUUGAGGAAUCAUAGUAACUGAUCGAAGCGAAUCUUUCGCUAAAUCAUUCGAGUUUCUGCCCUAUCAGCUCUCGAUGGUAGUGUAUUGGACUACCAUGGCGGUAACGGGUUACGGAGAAUUGGGGUUCGAUUCCGGAGAGGGAGCCUGAGAAACGGCUACCAUUUCUAUGGAAGGCAGCAGGCGCGUAAAUUACCCAAUCCUGACUAAGGGAGGUAGUUAAUAGAAAUAACAGGUUCGUGGUUUUUACCAUCGGACAUGUAAUGAACGCUAUGUAGAUAAAAGCGUGAAUCUAUUGGAGGGCAAGUCUGGUGCCAGCAGCCGCGGUAAUUCCAGCUCCAAUAGCGUAUACUAAUGUUGUUGCAGUUAAAAAGCUCGUAGUUGAAAUUCGGCGCUUCUGCGUCUGUCCGCAAGGUAUCCCGAUCUCUCAA
This 528-nucleotide ribosomal RNA is filed under the name uncultured eukaryote. RNAcentral's name for it is "bacterial SSU rRNA". It matches the Rfam family "Eukaryotic small subunit ribosomal RNA", at positions 117 to 683 of the family's 1831-position model. The record is from RNAcentral.